AACGAACGCUGGCGGCAUGCCUAACACAUGCAAGUCGAACGAGACCUUCGGGUCUAGUGGCGCACGGGUGCGUAACGCGUGGGAACCUGCCCUUAGGUUCGGAAUAACUCCCCGAAAGGGGUGCUAAUACCGGAUAAUGUCUUCGGACCAAAGAUUUAUCGCCUUUGGAUGGGCCCGCGUUGGAUUAGCUAGUUGGUAGGGUAAAAGCCUACCAAGGCGACGAUCCAUAGCUGGUCUGAGAGGAUGAUCAGCCACACUGGGACUGAGACACGGCCCAGAAUCCUACGGGAGGCAGCAGUGGGGUAUAUUGGACAAUGGGCGAAAGCCUGAUCCAGCAAUGCCGCGUGAGUGAUGAAGGCCUUAGGGUUGUAAAGCUCUUUUACCCGGGAUGAUAAUGACAGUACCGGGAGAAUAAGCUCCGGCUAACUCCGUG
Molecule: ribosomal RNA, 433 nt
Filed under: uncultured bacterium
Lineage: Bacteria
Description: partial 16S ribosomal RNA
Rfam family: Bacterial small subunit ribosomal RNA
Source: RNAcentral